AUACGGAGGAUGCGAGCGUUAUCCGGAUUUAUUGGGUUUAAAGGGAGCGUAGGUGGGAUAUUAAGUCAGCUGUGAAAGUUUGGGGCUCAACCUUAAAAUUGCAGUUGAUACUGGUUUCCUUGAGUACGGUACAGGUGGGCGGAAUUCGUGGGGUAGCGGUGAAAUGCUUAGAUAUCACGAAGAACUCCGAUUGCGAAGGCAGCUCACUAGACUGUUACUGACACUGAUGCUCGAAAGUGUGGGUAUCAAACAGGAUUAGAUACCCUGGUAGUCCACACAGUAAACGAUGAAUACUCGCUGUUUGCGAUAUACAGUAAGCGGCCAAGCGAAAGCAUUAAGUAUUCCACCUGGGGAGUACGCCGGCAACGGUGAAACUCAAAGGAAUUGGCGGGG
Molecule: ribosomal RNA, 393 nt
Filed under: uncultured bacterium
Lineage: Bacteria
Description: partial 16S ribosomal RNA
Rfam family: Bacterial small subunit ribosomal RNA
Source: RNAcentral